Molecule: ribosomal RNA, 324 nt
Filed under: Ophisops elegans (snake-eyed lizard)
Lineage: Eukaryota; Metazoa; Chordata; Lepidosauria; Squamata; Lacertidae
Description: partial 16S ribosomal RNA
Rfam family: Bacterial large subunit ribosomal RNA
Source: RNAcentral
GACUAAACUGUCUCUUACGGGUAUUCAAUGAAACUGAUCUUUCAGUCCAAAAGCUGAAAUGCCUACACCAGACGAGAAGACCCUGUGGAGCUUCCUAAACCAAUACCAACCCCUAUGGUUAUACGGUUUUUAGUUGGGGCGACUUCGGAGAACAAAAAAACCUCCAACUUGGAAAUUUUCCUGAUUAAGAUCCACACAUCUAAAUAUAUAACUUGACCCAGUAGGCAAUUAUCCCUAUCUGACCAAGGAACCAAGUUACCCCAGGGAUAACAGCGCUAUCCUCUUCUAGAGUCCCUAUCGACAAGAGGGCUUACGACCUCGAUG